GAAACGUUAGCUCAAUGGAAGAGCUCUGGUUCUGCAAACUAGAUGUUGUGGGUUCGAGUCCCAUGUGUUUCG
Molecule: transfer RNA, 72 nt
Filed under: compost metagenome
Description: tRNA-Ala
Rfam family: tRNA
About the family: Transfer RNA (tRNA) molecules are approximately 80 nucleotides in length. Their secondary structure includes four short double-helical elements and three loops (D, anti-codon, and T loops).
Source: RNAcentral